Molecule: non-coding RNA, 1664 nt
Organism: Anoplopoma fimbria (sablefish)
Lineage: Eukaryota; Metazoa; Chordata; Actinopteri; Perciformes; Anoplopomatidae
Source: the annotation of a RefSeq genome assembly
UUCUGCAUUACUCAUACAUUCUGUACUCGAUAGAAAAAAACAUAUAAGUCUUGGUAAGAUAUAGAACAUGUCACAGUGUAGUUGGGCUCAAAUUUAUUCCAUACUAUAAUUUUUAUCAGCCUUUCUAACUGAUUGUUGGAAACUGGACCUAAAGAGAUUUUCACACCUUUAUGUCAUGAUUUAAAUAGUCAAUGUUAUGUCAGUAAUUGGAUGAUAUCGACAAAUUAUGAGAUACAACACAAUUCAAUACAGAGUACUUCACGGAGCAUUAUUUCUUUCUAAAAUCAUCAACUUAAAAUAUAUAAUUCUAGAGAUCUGAUCCUUACACAAAUUCAAUCUUUUUGGAUUAAAUAUAUCAACUGUUGUGAUGAUAGACAACCUCAUAUUACAACAGUUAUACUUUUAUACUAUACAUGGACACAAAUUAUUUGAAGAAAAGGUCUUUCAUAUUUUAACAUUAUAUCAUUUUUACUGAAGGAAGGGAACAAUGACCAUGUGUUAAUGCUGCAAACAGACAGGAGGAGACAGAGACUGUGCUAAUAUCUCUUUUGUGUCAAGUCCUUGAAUAAAAUUGUACUGUUUCAUUAAACAUUAUUAUAUGUAAAAACUCAAAUGAAAUGCGUAUCACAUUAUGCAGAUAAUACCCUGAUUUUUAUUACCAAUCCUGAAAAUGAUCUGUCCUAUUUGACAACAAUUGAACAUAUCUAAUAUAUCUUCUUUAAAGGUAAACAUAAGUGAUAACAGAGUGCUUUGUGAUUGACCAUUGAAAUUAUUCUACCAUGUGUGUUGUUAGGUAAUAUAAUUCAAACAGGAACGACAAUGAAGGAACAUCUACAAACUUAAAACAACUAAAAUAACCUGGAAAGAAUUUGACUUAUUACUUUUGCGACUUUUUUAAAUUAAAUCUGACUAAUAAUUCUAAUAUAUUAUUAAUGUCAAAGAAAGAAAGUAAAAAGACACGUCAUAUUUAGUCCAUAAGUCCCUGUUGGAGUCAGUCAGAGCAUUUCCAUAGAGAGACACUUUGCAUCAGCAGCACCAUCCUCCAGUGCUCUGGGAGAGUUUAUAGUCCUGAGAGUUGAACACUGGAUGACUGACAGCUGUCCUUCAUCACAACAGAAGACACAGAAAUCCUCCUCAUCAAAAACAUGACUUUGAUCUCCGUCCUCAUCUGGACUCUCCUCUGCUGCUGCUUCACAGAGUCCAGAGGACAGGUCACAGUGACUCAGCCUGGAGCAGUGAGCUCUGCUCUGGGAGGCUCCGUCUCCAUCUCCUGUAGGACCAGUCAGGAUGUUCAUAUUUGGAGCAGUAACCACCUUUUAGCCUGGUACCAACAGAGAGAUGGAGAAACUCCUAAACUGCUCAUUACCUAUGCUAGCACUCGAGCAUCAGGGAUUCCAGGUCGUUUUACAGGCAGUGGAUCAAACUCUGCCUUCACUCUGACCAUCAGUGGAGUCCAGACUGAAGAUGCAGCAGUUUACUACUGUCAGAGUCUUCACUAUAUCAACAGUCAGAAUGUGUUCACACAGUGAAAAAGCGUCGUACAAAAACCUCCCUCAGUCAGACUGAACAGAAACUGAACUGACUGCUGCAGCUGGAAGCUACUGCAGAGACUGAUACACUUCACUGAACACACACACACACACACACACACACACACACACACA